CCGCGCGCCGCCCCCGCCCUUUCGCUCCGCGCCGCCCCUGCCCGCCGCCGCGCCCACCCUUCCCCGAUGUGCCCCAAGCCCCUGCGGCUUUCCACCGCCAGCGUUGCACCUUCCCUAACUCCUCUCUCUCCUUCUCCUCUGCCGCCGCCGCUCCUCUCCAUCGGCCGACCAACUCCCACGAGUCAUCGCCUCUCGAUCCUCCUCCUCUGUGUGUGUGUGCUCGAUCCGGAUCCACCCUGGCCGUAUGCAUCGCUCUGAUGUAGAGGCCGGGGAAACCUCCCUUUUCGAAAAAAAGGAAAAAAAGAAAAAAAAUCCCUUUCCUGGGUGCAGCUUAGAUGAGAGCUCCACUUUCCUGGGUGCAGCAUAGAGGAGAGGAUGGGCACGGCAAACAGAACUUGAACGCCGGAUGGAUGGAUACUGGCGCUGCCGGGCGCAGACAUCGUUCUCCUCCUGGCCGAGCUCCUCCACAACACCCCGUCUGCAACCCAUGUUUGAUGUGCCGCAGGCUGGAUGGGGACGCGUGGACCUCCUGCUCCUCCCGACCAAGCUUGAUUGUGUGUGCGACCUGCUGACGGCGCUCGGGGUGUUUGAGCUUUGAGGUAGGAUAGCAGGAGCGGUGACUAGCAUCAAGGAGGAGCAGCAAGAAGCAGCGACAACUAGCUAGCUGCUAGCAUGCGCCCCUCUCUCUCAUGUACAUGGAUUUGUAAUGGGAAAGUACUUUCUCGGUUCUUUCUUUAGUGUGAACCAUCUUUUGCUAUUCAUGAGCAUCCACCCACAACCUGUUUGAUGUUAUGCGUACAACAGACUGAGACACAUUUUAAUUUUCUGGUCAAACUCUUACCUCUAUUUAGAAAAUGAAAAUGAAGAAGCAUGUGUAUCUGA
Long non-coding RNA from Triticum aestivum (bread wheat), 882 nucleotides. RefSeq lists it as uncharacterized. The transcript is spliced from 2 exons. NCBI's taxonomy places the organism in Eukaryota, Viridiplantae, Streptophyta, Magnoliopsida, Poales, Poaceae. The record is from RefSeq and is a predicted model, not a curated record.